Molecule: ribosomal RNA, 252 nt
Filed under: uncultured bacterium
Lineage: Bacteria
Description: partial 16S ribosomal RNA
Rfam family: Bacterial small subunit ribosomal RNA
Source: RNAcentral
UACGUAGGGUGCGAGCGUUGUCCGGAAUUAUUGGGCGUAAAGAGCUCGUAGGCGGUGUGUCACGUCGGCCGUGAAAACCUGCAGCUUAACUGUGGCGUGCGGUCGAUACGGGCAUCACUGGAGUUCGGCAGGGAGACUGGAAUUCCUGGUGUAGCGGUGAAAUGCGCAGAUAUCAGGAGGAACACCGGUGGCGAAGGCGGGUCUCUGGGCCGAUACUGACGCUGGAGGCACGAAAGCGUGGGAGCAAACAGG